Molecule: ribosomal RNA, 484 nt
Filed under: uncultured bacterium
Lineage: Bacteria
Description: partial 16S ribosomal RNA
Rfam family: Bacterial small subunit ribosomal RNA
Source: RNAcentral
AUUGAACGCUGGCGGCAUGCCUAACACAUGCAAGUCGAGCGCAUGAACGCAGCUUUCUCCUGGAUUCAGCGUCGGGCGGGUGUGUAAUUCACAGGAAUCUGCCUGGCAUUGGGGGAUAACAUCCCGAAACGAGCGCUAAUACCGCAUACGUCCAGAGGGAGAAACAUGGGGGUCUUCGGACCUCGCGCUAUCAGCUGAGACUAGGUCGGGUCAGCUAGUUGGUGUGGUAAGGUCCUACCAAGGCGACGAUCCGUAACUGAGCUGAGGGGAUGAUCUGGCACAGUGGGAGUGAGACACGGUCCAGACUCCUACGGGAGGCAGCAGUGGGGAAUAUUGGAAGAUGGGCGAAAGACUGAUCAAGCGACGCCGCGUGGGUGAAGAGGGGCUUCGGAUGGUAAAACGGUUUUAGUUGGGAGGAAGGGCAGUAAGAUAAAAGAUGGCUGUAUUGACGGUACCAACAGAAGAAGCGCCGGCUAACUACGUG